RNAcentral lists this ribosomal RNA (406 nucleotides) under uncultured bacterium. Its description in RNAcentral is "partial 16S ribosomal RNA". It matches the Rfam family "Bacterial small subunit ribosomal RNA", at positions 29 to 526 of the family's 1533-position model. The record is from RNAcentral.
AUUGAACGCCGGCGGCAGGCCAAACACAUGCAAGUCGAGCGAGCGGCGGACGGUCGAGUAAUGUCUGGGAAACUGCCUGAUGGAGGGGGAUAACUACUGGAAACGGUAGCUAAUACCGCAUACCAUCAGAUGUGCCCAGGUGGGAUUAGCCAGUAGGUGGGGUAACGGCGCACCUAGGCGACGAUUCCUAGCUGGUCUGAGAGGAUGACCGGCCACGCUGGAACUGAGACACUGUCCAGACUCCUGCGCGAGGCAGCGGUGGGGAAUAUUGCCCAAUGGGCGCAAGCCUGAUGCAGCCAGGCCGCGUGGAUGAUGAAGGCCUUCGGGUUGUAAAGUACUUUCAGCGGGGGGGCGUUACCCGCAGAAGAAGCACCGGCUAACUCCGUGCCAGCCGCCGCGGUAAUUC